RNAcentral lists this long non-coding RNA (491 nucleotides) under Oryctolagus cuniculus (rabbit). RNAcentral describes it as "lncRNA (ENSOCUG00000034075.1)". The record is from RNAcentral. Lineage: Eukaryota; Metazoa; Chordata; Mammalia; Lagomorpha; Leporidae.
AGGGUCAGGCAGUGAAAAAUAGAAUCCAAGUGCAGAAGAGACAGGCAUGUGACUUGGAGUGUGUGAUUGCCAUUAAACAGUACUGUUUCAUCAAAGGUUAUACCAGGACAAAGAGUACAACCAAAGCUGCAUUUUUUGGCAGUGGUUUAAAAAACAUUGUGUAUUCUCAUGAAAGCUAUAUCAGAAAUAAUGAUAAAAAUACUUGUCUGGAACCCCAAACACUUAUUAAAUCAGCAGUCACUGAAAUGAAACAACCCAAGACAGGUGCACCUGGAUAGACCCUGAGAGACCAUGAAGCCCUGCAUUAAGGCACUGCACAGUUCAGUUGAACAAGCACAGCAGAGAAGAGGAGGAGAAUGGGCAACUAACAUCAAAUCAAGAAGAAUGGAAGUUUUCAAAGUGAAGGCAAUGUUGCAUCACAGGGGAACAAAUGAUGGCAUGAGCUUGGAUUAAACAUAAGCAACAAUAAUAAAAUUCUUGUCCAAAAGUCA